AUGAAAUACAGGGCAUGUACAAUAUCAUGUCAGUUUCAGGUGUACUGUGUUUCCCUGGAGGCUCGGAGGGUAAAGAAUCUGCCUGCAAUGCAGGAGACCUGGGUUCAGUCCCUGGGUUGGGAAGAUUCCUUGGAGAAGGGAAUGGCUACCCACUCCAGUAUUCUUGCCUGGAGAACAUGGACAGAGGUGCCUCUCAGGCUGCAGUCCACCGGGUCGCAAGUAGUCGGACAGGACUGAGGGACUAAUACUUCAGGUGUUUUAUAUGAUGAUUUGAUAUUUGCAAACGAUCACCACCAUAAAUCUAUUAACGAACUGUCCCCACACAAAGCUAUUACAAUGUUACUGGCCAUAUCCCUUAUGUUGCAAAGAGUCCAACAGAACACAGCAACUGAACAACUGACAUAUAACUGGAGAUUUGUGCCUCUUAAUCCCCUUCACCUCUUUCGCCCACUGCCUCCCACCCUCCUCCUUUCUGGCAACCACCUGUUUGUAUUUUAAGAGAACGUGGGGUAUUGCUGCUUUGAAUUCCCAGAAGGAAGACAUGCCUGCAAGAACAUGGCUCAUAAACCUGCAGAUGAUUAACACUGAGGGCCAGGGUUAAGCUUGGGGCAAGAGUGUCGUGCAGAUUUUGCACCAGGUGUAGCAUACAUCCCAGAAAUGUGACGCUUGCUUUUCAACAAACCUAGGGGCACGAGUUCGAUACCUGGUCAAGGAACUAAGAUCCCUGGAAGCCACCUGGUGCAGCCUAAAAAAUAAAAAUAAUUUUAAAACACUGGGGCUUCCCCGGUGGAUCAGUGGUAAAGAAUCUGCCUGCCAGUGCAGGAAUCACAGGUUCGAUCCCUGAUCUGGAAGAUCUCUCAUACUGCAGAGCAACUAAGCCCUCUUGCCACAAUUAUUGAGCCUGUGCUCUAGUGCCUGGAAGCUGCAACUACGGAGCCCAUGUGUCGCAACGACUGAAACCUGAGGCCCGUAGCAUCCGAGCUCUGCCACCACAAAGAGAAGUCCGCACAGCGCACAACUCGACAAAGGGUAGCACCCGCUUCCCAGCAAUAGAGAAGAGACCGUGCGGCAGCAACGACCCCAAACAGCCAAAAAUAAAAAAAUC
This is a long non-coding RNA of Bos taurus (domestic cattle), 1105 nucleotides long. Lineage: Eukaryota; Metazoa; Chordata; Mammalia; Artiodactyla; Bovidae. The record is from Ensembl.